Molecule: ribosomal RNA, 406 nt
Filed under: uncultured bacterium
Lineage: Bacteria
Description: partial 16S ribosomal RNA
Rfam family: Bacterial small subunit ribosomal RNA
Source: RNAcentral
AUUGAACGCUAGCGGCAUGCCUAACACAUGCAAGUCGAACGAGUGGCGGACGGGUGAGUAAUAUAUGGGAAACUGCCCGAUGGAGGGGGAUAACUACUGGAAAUGGUAGCUAAUACCGCAUACCAUCGGAUGUGCCAAGAUGGGAUUAGCUAGUGGGUGGGGUACAGGCUCACCUAGGCGACGAUCCGUAGCUGGUCUGAGAGGAGGACCAGCCACACUGGAAAUGAGACACGGUCCAGACUCCGACGGGAGGCAGCAGUGGGGAAUGUUGGACAAUGGGCGAAAGCCUGAUGCAGCCAUGCCGCGUGUAUGAUGAAGGCCUUCGGGUUGUAAAGUACUUUCGGCGGGGAGGCGUUACCCGCAGAAGAAGCACCGGCUAACUCCGUGCCAGCAGCCGCGGUAAUUC